UACGAAGGGGGCAAGCGUUGUUCGGAUUCAUUGGGCGUAAAGCGCGGGUAGGUGGUUUAGCAAGUCGGAUGUGAAAACCUUAGGGCUCAACCCAAGGCUUGCAUUCGAAACUGCUUUACUUGAGUGCGGGAGAGGGCAGUGGAAUUCCUGGUGUAGCGGUGAAAUGCGUAGAUAUCAGGAGGAACACCGGUGGCGAAGGCGGCUGCUUGGCCCGCAACUGACACUGAACCGCGAAAGCUAGGGGAGCAAACGGGAUUAGAUACCCCCGUA
Molecule: ribosomal RNA, 270 nt
Filed under: uncultured prokaryote
Description: partial 16S ribosomal RNA
Rfam family: Bacterial small subunit ribosomal RNA
Source: RNAcentral